UUAGCCUUAAACCUCAAUAGUUAAAUAACAAAACUAUUCGCCAGAAUACUACAAGCAACAGCUUGAAACUCAAAGGACUUGGCGGUGCUUUAUAUUCCCCCUAGAGGAGCCUGUUCCAUAAUCGAUAAACCCCGAUCCACCCUACCCUCUCUUGCUCAGCCUAUAUACCGCCAUCUUCAGCAAACCCUGAUGAAGGCCACAAAGUGAGCGCAAAUGCCCACGCCGCAAAAACGUUAGGUCAAGGUGUAGCCCAUGAGACGGUAAAAAAUGGGCUACAUUUUCUACCUCAGAAAACCCUACGAUACCUCUUAUGAAAUCUAAGAGUCCAAGGAGGAUUUACGCAGUAAUCAAGAAUAGAGUGCUUGAUUGAACUAGGCCAUGAAGCGCGC
This 389-nucleotide ribosomal RNA is filed under the name Cercocebus atys (sooty mangabey). Its description in RNAcentral is "partial 12S ribosomal RNA". It matches the Rfam family "Bacterial small subunit ribosomal RNA", at positions 832 to 1384 of the family's 1533-position model. Lineage: Eukaryota; Metazoa; Chordata; Mammalia; Primates; Cercopithecidae. The record is from RNAcentral.